Molecule: transfer RNA, 75 nt
Filed under: Firmicutes bacterium ADurb.Bin193
Lineage: Bacteria; Bacillati; Bacillota
Description: tRNA-Arg
Rfam family: tRNA
About the family: Transfer RNA (tRNA) molecules are approximately 80 nucleotides in length.
Source: RNAcentral
GCCCCCAUAGUACAAGGGAUAGUACAAGCCCCUCCUAAGGGUUAGAUACAUGUUCGAGUCAUGUUGGGGGUGCCA